This is a long non-coding RNA of Lutra lutra (Eurasian river otter), 798 nucleotides long. RefSeq lists it as uncharacterized. The record is from RefSeq and is a predicted model, not a curated record. The transcript has 3 exons. Lineage: Eukaryota; Metazoa; Chordata; Mammalia; Carnivora; Mustelidae.
UAACCAGAGGACACACACAAGUGAUCACUGUAGCUCCUGCCAUCCUAGGAUGUUAUCAAUUUAGAGAGACAGGAAGCUCUGUUUCCUUUGCAAGCCAGACUGGAAGUGCUCACAGGAAAUGUACACGGGUACCUCCUCCAACCAAAUUUCUAAUCCCAACAGUAGUUCAUUUGCUCAGGCAUGUCUCUGUCUCUUCUUCAACUGUAAGCACCUCUAGAAUACAGUGUCUCCCUAUAUCUUUGCAUAGCCACUCACCAGGUGUUUUUCAAUCCUGGCUGUACAUUCAAAUCACGUGACACUUAGCCUCACCCAGAGACUUUGAUCUAAUUGGUUUGGGGAGAUACCCGGGCAUACGCAACCCUUUAGAGACUCACGAAAACGAGAUGAUUGUUAAUAUGCAGCCAAACUUGAGUCCAACACCAGAGCUUUGGAUAUGAUGAGAACACAAAAUAUGUUUGGCUGAUGUGGUCUGGGAUCCCCACUGCACCCCAGUGUGCAACAUAGUAUUGAAAAACAAAACAAAACAGGAGACCAAGCCUCAACAGUUCAGCUAGAAACAAAUGAAGAAUGGAAUGACUCUGAAAUCCUGGGUGCCGUUCCUCUCAAGUAUUGGCUUCUGGAAGACACAGCAACAGAAUAUCCCCAAACCCGUAUCUGCAUGGCUUGAGCAAAAUGACAAUCUUCCUAAAAAGGCCCACAGUGAGGGACUCAGCCAUCCACAACCACUGGAAGGGAGACUAUUUAUCUGUCUUCAGAAGCUUCCCCAGUCCUCCCAAUUCCCAACUCUGUGUGGGUAAU